GACGAACGCUGGCGGUGGGCUUAACACAUGCAAGUCGAACGGCAAGGCCCUGCGUGUGUGGUCUGCCGGAGUGCCGAACGGGGGAGUAGCACGUGAGUAACCUGCCCUUGUCUUUGGGAUAACUUCAGGAAACUGGGGCUAAUACCGGAUAGCAGCCCCCCCUGCAUGGAGGGGGUUGGAAAGUUUCGGCGGUCGGGGAUGGACUCGCGGCUGAUCAGCUUGUUGGUGGGGUAGUGGCUGCCCAAGGCUUUGACCGAUAGCCGGCAGGAGAGGGUGGCCGGGCACCAUGGGCCUGCGGGACGGAGCAGACUCCAACGGGAGGCAACGGUGGCGAGCCUUGCCCAGUGGGACCGCGCCUGAUGAGGAGGCGCCGCGGUCGUAAAGCCGGCUUUCGGGUUGUGAACAGCAUCAGGUUGUGACGAAGCGUUUGUGACGGUAAUGGAUGAAGAAGCACCGGCUAACUACGUG
This 468-nucleotide ribosomal RNA is filed under the name uncultured bacterium. RNAcentral's name for it is "partial 16S ribosomal RNA". It matches the Rfam family "Bacterial small subunit ribosomal RNA", at positions 28 to 507 of the family's 1533-position model. The record is from RNAcentral.